UGGGGCAUCGCCAAGCGGUAAGGCAGCGGGUUUUGAUCUCGCCAUACCUAGGUUCGAAUCCUAGUGCCCAGCCA
RNAcentral lists this transfer RNA (74 nucleotides) under Aeromonas hydrophila. Its description in RNAcentral is "tRNA-Gln". It matches the Rfam family "tRNA". From Rfam's summary of the family: Transfer RNA (tRNA) molecules are approximately 80 nucleotides in length. Their secondary structure includes four short double-helical elements and three loops (D, anti-codon, and T loops). Further hydrogen bonds mediate the characteristic L-shaped molecular structure. tRNAs have two regions of fundamental functional importance: the anti-codon, which is responsible for specific mRNA codon recognition, and the 3' end, to which the tRNAs corresponding amino acid is attached (by aminoacyl-tRNA synthetases). tRNAs cope with the degeneracy of the genetic code in two manners: having more than one tRNA (with a specific anti-codon) for a particular amino acid; and 'wobble' base-pairing, i.e. permitting non-standard base-pairing at the 3rd anti-codon position. Lineage: Bacteria; Pseudomonadati; Pseudomonadota; Gammaproteobacteria; Aeromonadales; Aeromonadaceae. The record is from RNAcentral.